CGGGGGAGAAGUGUAACGAAGUAUGCAGAUUGGAGUCCAUCUUUCUGAGAGGACAAGGCGCUUGCAGAAGAGUUUCUCUUUAGAACUCAGAGGACAUAAAGCAUGCCAAUUAAAUUUCCUUUCAGCCUGCUGUCAUUUGGUGUGGCCUGUGAGGAACAUCCUACUUCCUGUGUAUCCAAAGGUCUCAGCUCAUUUCCUUGGUUACUGUCAACUCCGACCACCAGUAAAGGCUUCUCCUGCCACAGCUCCCAGGACUCAGGGCCCUGACCAUGUGCCUUUGCCUAAAUAACACUAUUUUAUCAUGUGUGCAGUUCCUAGUUGGAAAGCUUUAUCUGAAUUUCUUAACAAAAAAUUGAACUUGUUCCUUUUAAGGCUGACAAAUGCUAUUCAUCCUAGGACUCCUCAAACUCUCUUAACUUUUCCACCAGUUCUACACGAGACAGGAUUAAAGGAUUGAAUGGCUCAGUACCAGGUUCCUCACACAUAUUUAGGGGCCAGAGAACUCUUAAGCAUUUACCAUAGCAUGGAAUGGUGGUUUAAUGCGGGGUCCUACCCACAUUUACUCUACUGGAGUU
Molecule: long non-coding RNA, 575 nt
Filed under: Cavia porcellus (domestic guinea pig)
Lineage: Eukaryota; Metazoa; Chordata; Mammalia; Rodentia; Caviidae
Description: lncRNA (ENSCPOG00000030556.1)
Source: RNAcentral